GUUUGCAAGUUCGAAGCCAUAGCAGAAGCGUUCACAGCGCGGCCUGUCAGAUUCCAGUGAGUCCGAAUUCUGCU
Molecule: long non-coding RNA, 74 nt
Filed under: Crocodylus porosus (Australian saltwater crocodile)
Lineage: Eukaryota; Metazoa; Chordata; Crocodylia; Crocodylidae
Description: Mammalian CPEB3 ribozyme (ENSCPRG00005008441.1)
Rfam family: Mammalian CPEB3 ribozyme
About the family: The mammalian CPEB3 ribozyme is a self cleaving RNA located in the second intron of the CPEB3 gene which belongs to a family of genes regulating messenger RNA polyadenylation.
Source: RNAcentral